Molecule: long non-coding RNA, 314 nt
Organism: Oncorhynchus tshawytscha (Chinook salmon)
Lineage: Eukaryota; Metazoa; Chordata; Actinopteri; Salmoniformes; Salmonidae
Source: Ensembl
AAAACGACCAUUCAUCGUGUAGCGGGGACCCUUGGGAUUGCAAACAGAGGAAGAUCUUCAAAGAUGCAUGGUCGAGAGUGCUUGCAGAGGAUGAGAGAGACAUUUGGACAGUAGUUAUUGUUGACCUGAUGGCCUGCAAAAUGGAAAAACAGUGUGGUUCGUCAAGCCCCCCUACUUCCGGAGUGAGGUGUUCACUGCUCUUUGUCAAGAUCUAAAGUAACUUGGAGAGGGACCAGAGCUACUUGGCGAGCCACACCACACGGGACAUGUCUGUGGAAUUUUUGUCGAGGCAACCUAUAUCCCAUGGACGCCUU